UGGGGAAUAUUGCACAAUGGGCGCAAGCCUGAUGCAGCAACGCCGCGUGAGGGACGACGGCCUUCGGGUUGUAAACCUCUUUUGGCAGGGAAGAAGCGAAAGUGACGGUACCUGCAGAAAAAGCACCGGCUAACUACGUGCCAGCAGCCGCGGUGAUACGUGGGGUGCAAGCGUUGUCCGGAAUUAUUGGGCGUAAAGAGCUCGUAGGCGGUUUGUCGCGUCUGCUGUGAAAACCCGAGGCUCAACCUCGGGCCUGCAGUGGGUACGGGCAAACUAGAGUGCGGUAGGGGAGAUUGGAAUUCCUGGUGUAGCGGUGGAAUGCGCAGAUAUCAGGAGGAACGCCGAUGGCUAAGGCAGAUCUCUGGGCCGUAACUGACGCUGAGGAGCGAAAGCAUGGGGAGCGAACA
This 407-nucleotide ribosomal RNA is filed under the name uncultured bacterium. Its description in RNAcentral is "bacterial SSU rRNA". It matches the Rfam family "Bacterial small subunit ribosomal RNA", at positions 355 to 774 of the family's 1533-position model. The record is from RNAcentral.